RNAcentral lists this small RNA (1550 nucleotides) under Pan troglodytes (chimpanzee). Its description in RNAcentral is "retained intron". The record is from RNAcentral. Lineage: Eukaryota; Metazoa; Chordata; Mammalia; Primates; Hominidae.
GGGUACGGGAGCUGGGAGGCGGGGGAAGCCCCAGCAUGGGACCCUAGCAGCUUUGGACCACCCGCCCAGCCCUGCCUCUCACGCUCUGUCCCCCAGACAUGGUGGCCCAGGCGCUGGAGCUCUCUCGGAAACCACAUGUGGUCAUCGCCACACCGGGGCGCCUGGCAGAUCACCUGCGCAGCUCCAACACUUUUAGUAUAAAGAAGAUCCGUUUCCUGGUGAGUUCGCCCCGCCCCUGCAGACCUCAGGAGCUGGGCUCGGAGCCUCCAGGCCCAGUGUCAGAGCCUGGGGCACCAUCUCAUCCAUUUAGGAAACGUAUGUCCGUUAGACUGUCCAGUAAAACGCUAGGAACAGUGACAAGGACCGUUCAAGGACCAACAAGAGGGGGCCCAGUCCUAGCAAUGUUAUUCGGGGGUAGGGCCUUGCUGAGACUUGGGUGAGGGGCAGGCCUCCCUUGGAAGGAGGGUACUCCAGGGCCUAGGGUCCAUGUCCAUGCCUCUCAAAGAGGCCUGCUUCAGGGGUGGCCAAGACCCGGGGCCAUGGACGGCACCCUCACCCCUGCCCCCAUUGGCACGGCAGGUGAUGGAUGAGGCAGACCGGCUGCUGGAACAGGGCUGCACUGACUUCACCGUGGACCUGGAGGCCAUCCUGGCGGCUGUGCCGGCCCGCAGGCAGACACUGCUGUUCAGCGCCACGCUGACCGACACACUCCGGGAGCUGCAGGGUCUGGCCACCAACCAGCCCUUCUUCUGGGAAGCACAGGCCCCGGUGAGCACCGUGGAGCAGCUGGACCAGCGCUACCUGCUGGUGCCUGAGAAGGUCAAGGACGCCUACCUGGUCCACCUGAUCCAGCGCUUCCAGGAUGAGCACGAGGACUGGUCCAUUAUCAUCUUCACCAACACGUGCAAGACCUGCCAGAUUCUGUGCAUGAUGCUGCGCAAAUUCAGCUUCCCCACCGUGGCUCUGCACUCCAUGAUGAAGCAGAAAGAACGCUUUGCCGCCCUAGCCAAGUUCAAGUCCAGCAUCUACCGGAUCCUGAUCGCAACAGACGUGGCCUCCCGGUGAGCAGCCCCCAGUCUCCUGCCAAGGGCACUCCCUCGUUUACUACAAGGCCCCACAGAUGAGAAGGCUGGCCUCAGGCAUGUCAGGCAGCCCUAGCCUCCCUGCUGAGUGACCCUGGGUGAGUCCUUGCCUCGGUUUCCCCACAUGGACAGUGGAGCUGACCAGCCACCUCUGCCUCCAGGGGCCUGGACAUCCCUACGGUACAGGUGGUCAUCAACCACAACACCCCCGGGCUCCCCAAGAUCUACAUCCACCGAGUCGGCCGGACGGCCCGUGCAGGUGAGCAGUGGAGGGGGAGGCCGAGCCUUGGGCCUCUGUCCCUCCAGCCUGCCCAGCAAAUUCAGGUGGUAGGAUGUGGGUAGGGUGCAGCCCACAGAUGAGAGCUACUCAGGGCCAUGUUUGCAAGUUGGGGAGUUGUCCUUUCUAAAGCAAAGGUGAAUCCCAGCUACUCGGGAGGCUGAGGCAAGAAGAUCACUUGAACCCGGGAG